Molecule: long non-coding RNA, 66 nt
Organism: Amblyraja radiata (thorny skate)
Lineage: Eukaryota; Metazoa; Chordata; Chondrichthyes; Rajiformes; Rajidae
Exons: 3
Source: RefSeq, a predicted model, not a curated record
UGUGAAAUUGUCCCUAGUGUGUAAGGAAUGGAUUCUAAAGUGGGAUAUCCCAGAACUGGUGUGAAC